This 468-nucleotide ribosomal RNA is filed under the name uncultured microorganism. RNAcentral describes it as "bacterial SSU rRNA". It matches the Rfam family "Bacterial small subunit ribosomal RNA", at positions 9 to 521 of the family's 1533-position model. The record is from RNAcentral.
GAGUUUGAUCCUGGCUCAGAGCGAACGCUGGCGGCAGGCCUAACACAUGCAAGUCGAACGAACUCUUCGGAGUUAGUGGCGGACGGGUGAGUAACACGUGGGAACGUGCCUUUUGGUUCGGAAUAACUCAGGGAAACUUGUGCUAAUACCGAAUGUGCCCUUCGGGGAAAGAUUUAUCGCCAUUAGAGCGGCCCGCGUCUGAUUAGCUAGUUGGUGAGGUAAAGGCUCACCAAGGCGACGAUCAGUAGCUGGUCUGAGAGGAUGAUCAGCCACACUGGGACUGAGACACGGCCCAAACUCCUACGGGAGGCAGCACGUGGGGAAGUCUUGCGCAAUGGGCGAAAGCCUGACGCAGGCCAUGCCGCGUGAAUGAUGAAGGUCUUAGGAUUGUAAAAUUCUUUCUACCGGGGACGAUAAUGACGGUACCCGGAGAAGAAGCCCGGCUAACUUCGUGCCAGCCGCCGCAGU